This 385-nucleotide ribosomal RNA is filed under the name Stachyamoeba sp. RNAcentral describes it as "SSU rRNA". It matches the Rfam family "Eukaryotic small subunit ribosomal RNA", at positions 1439 to 1829 of the family's 1831-position model. The record is from RNAcentral. Lineage: Eukaryota; Heterolobosea; Gruberellidae.
GGAAGCUCGAGGCAAUAACAGGUCUGUGAUGCCCUUAGAUGCCUUCGGCAGCACGCGUACUACAAUGUUAAAAUAGCAAGUUAAUGAGUCCAUCAGGAUUCGGCUGCUCAUAGCUGAGUGGCUAAACUUGUAAAAUUUUAACAUGACAGGGAUUGGUCAUUGGAAGUGGACCAUGAACGAGGAAUUCCUCGUAAUCGCAAGUCAUCAUCUUGCAAUGAUUACGUCCCUGCCUUUUGUACACACCGCCCGUCGCUCCUACCGAUUGGAGAAAGAAGUGAAAUGGAAGGAUUGGCCUUCGGGUCUAAAGAAUUCCCUUGAACUUCUUUCUCUGUAGGAAGGAGAAGUCGUAACAAGGUCUUCGUAGGUGAACCUGCAGAAGGAUCAA